Molecule: ribosomal RNA, 576 nt
Filed under: uncultured bacterium
Lineage: Bacteria
Description: partial 16S ribosomal RNA
Rfam family: Bacterial small subunit ribosomal RNA
Source: RNAcentral
CUAAGAAUAUUCCGCAAUGGACGGAAGUCUGACGGAGCGACGCCGCGUGGAUGACGAAGGCCGAAAGGUUGUAAAGUUCUUUUGCUGGGGAAGAAUAACCGCAGGAGGGAAUGCCUGUGGGAUGACAAGAACCGGCGAAUAAGCCCCGGCCAACUACGUGCCAGCAGCCGCGGUAACACGUAGGGGGCGAGCGUUGUUCGGAAUUACUGGGCGUAAAGGGCAUGUAGGCGGCUUGGAAAGCCUGGCGUGAAAGUCUGCAGCUUAACUGCAGGGGUGCGCUGGGAACUGCUGAGCUUGAGUGACGGAGAGGGAGCUGGAAUUCCUGGUGUAGGGGUGAAAUCUGUAGAUAUCAGGAAGAACACCGAUGGCGAAGGCAAGCUCCUGGCCGAUGACUGACGCUGAGGUGCGAAAGUGUGGGGAUCAAACAGGAUUAGAUACCCUGGUAGUCCACACAGUCAACGAUGUGCACUAGGUGCUGGGGCGGUAGCUUCGGUGCCGGAGCGAACGUGGUAAGUGCACCGCCUGGGGAGUAUGCUCGCAAGGGUGAACUCAAGGAAUUGACGGGGGUCAUAGCUG